Raphanus sativus (radish) is the source of this 571-nucleotide long non-coding RNA. RefSeq lists it as uncharacterized. The transcript is spliced from 2 exons. Lineage: Eukaryota; Viridiplantae; Streptophyta; Magnoliopsida; Brassicales; Brassicaceae. The record is from RefSeq and is a predicted model, not a curated record.
CGGAUACUGAGGUGUUCUGUUAUGUGCAGGUGGAAUUAGAGACGGUACCCUGGAGUGAAACACUUAACCGUUUGCAUGGUGCAAGAUGGCGAGAUCACUGCUUCUAUCAGGAGUCUUCUUCUUCUGGGAACCCUAUUCAGGCCAAAAAGAAUCCAAGGAGAUCACACACAAGGUUUACUUCGAUAUGAAGCGGUAUGACCUUGUUCCUUAGUUUAACUCUUGUGAUUCAUGAGUUGAUGCACCUACUAGUGUUUUAUUUUAAAAGACUACAUGAACUGAAAUGUCUUUUGUGUUUAAACGACUAUCUUAGACUUGUGUGUUUAACGACUAUCUUAGACCUUUAUGUCAGAAUGCAUGAGUUAUCAUUUAACCUAUUAUCAGUACGUACAGUCCGUACCUACAUCGUCCGUGUUACAAAGUCUUCAUCAAAUCCCUAGCAAAUAUGUUUGUCAAAGUCUUCUCUCAAAUUGAAGUUCAAAGAAAAAUAUACAUACUGAGUGUGUCAGCCAAAGUGUUUCAUGACUCUCAGAAUAGAAAAAGAGAUGAAUUAAGAAAGCGAAGUUUUGCUCAA